CACAAGCGGUGGAGCAUGUGGUUUAAUUCGAUGAUACGCGAAGAACCUUACCUGGGCUUGAACUGUGCAUGACCGGCGUAGAGAUACGUCUUUCCUUCGGGACAUGUAUACAGGUGGUGCAUGGUUGUCGUCAGCUCGUGUCGUGAGAUGUUGGGUUAAGUCCCGCAACGAGCGCAACCCUUGUCUUCAGUUACCAUCAUUCAGUUGGGGACUCUGGAGAGACUGCCGGUGACAAACCGGAGGAAGGUGGGGAUGACGUCAAAUCAUCAUGCCCCUUAUGACCUGGGCUACACACGUACUACAAUGGCGUAUACAACGGAAAGCGAAAUGGUGACAUGGAGCAAAUCUCACAAAGUACGUCUCAGUUCGGAUUGAAGUCUGCAACUCGACUUCAUGAAGUCGGAAUCGCUAGUAAUCGCGGAUCAGCAUGCCGCGGUGAAUACGUUCUCGGGCCUU
This 456-nucleotide ribosomal RNA is filed under the name uncultured Erysipelothrix sp. RNAcentral's name for it is "bacterial SSU rRNA". It matches the Rfam family "Bacterial small subunit ribosomal RNA", at positions 924 to 1382 of the family's 1533-position model. Lineage: Bacteria; Bacillati; Bacillota; Erysipelotrichia; Erysipelotrichales; Erysipelotrichaceae. The record is from RNAcentral.